This 460-nucleotide ribosomal RNA is filed under the name uncultured bacterium. RNAcentral's name for it is "partial 16S ribosomal RNA". It matches the Rfam family "Bacterial small subunit ribosomal RNA", at positions 338 to 795 of the family's 1533-position model. The record is from RNAcentral.
CCUACGGGCGGCAGCAGUGAGGAAUUUUGGUCAAUGGGCGGGAGCCUGAACCAGCCAAGUCGCGUGAGGGAAGACGGUCCUAUGGAUUGUAAACCUCUUUAGGAGGGGAGCAAUGCCGGGCACGCGUGCACGGAGGGAGAGUACCCGCAGAAUAAGCAUCGGCUAACUCCGUGCCAGCAGCCGCGGUAAUACGGAGGAUGCGAGCGUUAUCCGGUUUUAUUGGGUUUAGAGAGUGCGUAGGCGGAUUUUUAUGUCAGCGGUAAAAUGUCGGGACUCAACCCCGGCCUGCCGUUGAAACUGGCGGCCUCGAGUGGGCGAGAGGUAUGCGGAAUGCGUGGUGUAGCGGUGAAAUGCAUAGAUAUCACGCAGAACUCCGAUUGCGAAGGCAGCAUACCGGCGCCCGACUGACGCUGAGGCACGAAAGCGUGGGUAUCGAACAGGAUUAGAUACCCCAGUAGUC